RNAcentral lists this long non-coding RNA (1907 nucleotides) under Brachypodium distachyon (stiff brome). RNAcentral's name for it is "long non-coding RNA (BDIS_LNC006052)". The record is from RNAcentral. Lineage: Eukaryota; Viridiplantae; Streptophyta; Magnoliopsida; Poales; Poaceae.
GGCACCAUUUCUGCUUCGCCGGCACCGUGAAUCGCAACAGCUUGAUUUGUUCGUUAGUUUGCUGUUUAUUGUUUCCGCUGCUGAACUGCGCCUCUGUGUGUUGCGGAGCUUGCUUCGCCUCUGUGUGUUGACCCGCAGAGCGUGAUUUUUGUGCGUUCUGAAGCCCGGGAGCUAGUUGCAACAGCAUUUAGGUAGUGUAUUUCCCCAUUUUUACCCAUUCAGGAGGUCAAAUUGAUGCUUGCUUUCAUCCAGAUUGUACUAGGAGCGUUAAAUUGGUUGUUAUUUUGUGCAUCCGUUCCUUUUGACUUGUUUCUUAAUGCGUUAUUUCACACUCCCAACCCUUUUUGUCUCCCUUGUUCUAGGUUCUUGGCCCCUUCUUUCUCCCUUUGUACUGGCGGUUUGUCUUCUGAAUCACCUGUUGCUAUCUUGUUUUGAGUAAGGUUUUUCCUUUCACACCCCCCUGUCCUGCAUUCGCAUUGAUCUAUACAUGUGUCACAUACCUACAAAUCAAUGUGUUUAUCUUCGUGAAGGAUUCAAUCAUUUUUUACGAUUACGAGCCACAUGCCCAGCACCGCUGUUUUGUUGAUUCGUAGCAUCGUAUGUUUGUUUACUUUUGUUUCAUUCAGUUUCAUUUGAAAAUCUAUUCAUUUUUAUAGGCCUGCUAGCUCGUGUUGUGGUAUUCUGUUUUUGCAGUGCCCUUUGUAGUGUUAGUUCCUAGUGUCUAAUCAGAGGCUUAUUAGAUUUUGUUCUGUUACUCAAAAUAGUGUUUCUGCAACUCUCUGCAUUUGUUAACUCAAUUUUUUUUGUGUGGUUGAUAGGCGCAAGUAUAUAGUAAAGCAUGUAUACAGCAAACUUCUUCAACGCAGACACAUUUUUUUAGUCUACUUUGCACCCAGUUUUUUUAGUCUAUUUUUAUUUUUGUUGCAAUAAUUUUAUUGGAAUAUAGAUGUUUUUUGCACAUGAGAAUCAUUAAAUUGCAACUUUCGCCAACUGUUUUUUGCACGAUUUAUUAGGCGCAAUUUUCUGUACCUAUUAAGCUAUAUAUGUUCUCAUGUCACUCUUGUUUUGUUGUUAUCUAGGUGCAAUUAUCAGGUUUUUCAAACAAUAAUCGCUUGUUUCUUGCUAAUGGAGGUACAGAUUAGUUUUGUAUAAGUUCAUACAUAUCAAGCUUAACUAUUUUGUUUUGAGUUUGGUUUCUCAAACAUAAAUUAUUAUGACAUCUCCUGUUUUUUUUUUGUGCUGCAAGGCAGCAAGGGUCCUUGUGAUGUAUGCCGGAAGCCAAGCGGACCAUGUAAAGUUAAACCAACAGAAAAGAGCUUUUUUUGCGUCUACCUCAUCGAAUUAUUUGAGGACCACGUGGUAUAAUUUCUUUAGUUUUUGCGGUACUAAUUUUACCUAUCAAUGUAUAUGAUAUAUUCUCAAGGUCUGUAUUCUCAAAUAAGAGUGAUUGUAGCUUUUCUGAUUUCUGUUAUUUUAUGUUUCCCUUUUUGUGUCUAUGCAGACUGUUCCUUGCUACAUACGCGAGCAGUUCAACAAGUUGGCAUCCGACAUCGUAGCUUUGCAAAAUAGCGAUGGGUUUGAUUACACUGUACAAGUUGAAGUCAUGGACAAUGUCACCGUUUUGCAUGGAAACAAGUGGAAAGAGUUGAUCAUUGUCUAGCCCUAUGAGAUACCUUGACAUUCAUGUUUCCAGACAAGGAGGAACACAUCUUCAUAACUCAGUGCACAAACAAAAGGUGCCAGAUCAAGCAACGACUUGAUAAGUCAGCUUCGAUUCUCAUGUGUUUCAUACUCUGUGUUUUGAUUAACAGAGCCCUUUGUUUAAUGCCAGAUUUUCAUAUUUAAAAAAAAUGAUUGACCAUGUUCGUUGUUCUAAUAUCCAUUCUGUUUUUUUGUAGUAUCUUAUG